GAACCCGAACUGUUGCUAGACGUGGGUUAGGUUAGGUUAGAAAUGCGACCCCCAAGAAAACGAACUGUUGCCAGAAGUGGGUUAGGUUAGGUUAGAACUGCGACCCCCAAGAAAACGAACUGUUGCCAGAAAAGUGGAAAUUUAAAAA
This is a long non-coding RNA of Cydia strobilella, 148 nucleotides long. RefSeq lists it as uncharacterized. The transcript is spliced from 2 exons. NCBI's taxonomy places the organism in Eukaryota, Metazoa, Arthropoda, Insecta, Lepidoptera, Tortricidae. The record is from RefSeq and is a predicted model, not a curated record.